GACGAACGCUGGCGGCGUGCCUAAUACAUGCAAGUCGAGCGAAGUUUUUCUGGUGCUUGCCCUAGAAACACUUAGCGGCGAACGGGUGAGUAACACGUAAAGAACCUGCCUCAUAGACUGGGACAACUAUUGGAAACGAUAGCUAAUACCGGAUAACAGUAUUUCUCGCAUGAGAGAUAUUUAAAAGUUGGUUAUGCUAACACUAUGAGAUGGCUUUGCGGUGCAUUAGCUAGUUGGUGGGGUAAAGGCCCACCAAGGCGACGAUGCAUAGCCGACCUGAGAGGGUGAUCGGCCACACUGGGACUGAGACACGGCCCAGACUCCUACGGGAGGCAGCAGUAGGGAAUCUUCCGCAAUGGGCGAAAGCCUGACGGAGCAACGCCGCGUGAGUGAAGAAGGAUGUCGGUUCGUAAAGCUCUGUUGUUAGGGAAGAAUGGAUAUGUAGUAACUAUACAUGUAAGAGACGGUACCUAACCAGAAAGCCACGGCUAACUACG
This 497-nucleotide ribosomal RNA is filed under the name uncultured bacterium. Its description in RNAcentral is "partial 16S ribosomal RNA". It matches the Rfam family "Bacterial small subunit ribosomal RNA", at positions 28 to 505 of the family's 1533-position model. The record is from RNAcentral.